GUUCAGAGGUUAAAAGAAAGUUUCCAGCUCUUAAUAAAACAAGUCACUACAAAUCCAGUAAUCUGGAUUAUUUCCCCUUUAUUAUUUAGCUACUUGAUCUUGUAUCAGUGCCAGUUUCGUUGUACAGGUUACUCAGAUUACCGGUCAGUCAGAUCAUUUGAAUGUUAUGCUUUUCUCAGACCUGUGUUCCCUGCUGUUGCGUAAAAAUGUGUUUGCAUGUACAGUAACAGGUCUACAGAAGAGUCAUACUUACACAGACACAUUUCCAGCACAUCAGUCGAGACCUUUAUUGACUCACAUGAGGAAAUGAAAUGAAAAAAUAAAACACAAUAAAACGGUGGAGCACAAAAAUGAUCAAACGGUAAAUAUUAAAUAUGAUAAUUUAGUGCGUGUUAAGUAAAAUAGACUUUUUGAUAAUGUUAGCGUGUGGUUCAGGCUGAGCUGUGUGUGUUAGCUGUAACUCCUCUGGGUAGUUGAAGGGUUUGUGACGACAUGUACUUUAAAUGUGGGUCUAAAACUCAGCAUGUCGGCAAGGUAAGUAAACGCCUCCGACUGUGCUGUUCCUGUGUUGUAGGAAACCCUGUCGCUCUGAUCAUCUUCAGUUCACACAGUGCCGUUAUCCUGACCGAUGAAGUCCAGCAGUCCAACAGUCUCGGAAAUUGUGUUGGAUAUUUUCUUUCAUUUCAUAGACUAAAUGAUUAACCAGUUAACUGACCAAUUACUGAUGAUGAAAAUAAUCAUAAGUUGCAGCCAUAACUCUUACAGAUUGUUCUUAUUCUUGGCAGUAAUUAUUUGCUUGGUGGUUAUUUUAUGUACAGGCAGAUCUCUGAAUUCAGAAAAAAGAUUUAUUUGGCUCGGUUCACUUACGUCAAAUUACUUAUUAUUAUUUCUCACUCUUCUCUAGUGGUAUCUUGACACUACUUUUGGUUUAUUUAAGAUGAAUGGAAUUUAAUUUGCUCUAAAAAUGGCGAAAAACAUUAAACUGCAGCAUCACUUUCUAGAAACAAUGUUCACAUUAUUCAGGAUCAUCCACAAAAUAUGCUGUCAGUCGUUUUUACAGGGACUAUUUCUUCUAUAGAAAGUAGUUCCAAUGAAGACCGUUUACAGUUACACCGCUGUCCUCUAUGUCAUCAUCAAACAUCAAACAGAUGAGGACACAGUUUUACUGAGUUUUACUGAGAGAAAGCCAAAAGGCAAGUUGCAGCUGGUUCUUCAGUAAAACCACAUUUGGUGACUGUGCCAGAUGCUCCUGUGAGUAAUCCAGUUGCACAUCCCAGCCGGGCAGUUUCACCACGAACUGUGGUCUAAUGUCCAAAUUUAAAGAGUACAAAUGUUUUUGUUGUUGUAAAUAUAAUUCUUCCAAACAUAAAUGUAUAAAUAUCUUAAAUAAAUAAUAAAUGAACAUGUUUUUUUUCCCCUCCAGGUGUCUAAAGUGGCUGCACUGUUAAGGAAGGUUCUGGAGAUCAUCAGGUCCAGUCAUGUGUGCGGGGAGUCCCAGCUGACCUGGGUUCAGUUCUUAGAGGGAGCCGUCGAUCACAACCUGCAAAAAGCCAAAGACCUUAUACAGCAGGACAGCUAGUGUGUGUGUGAGUGUGUGUGGUUUUAUGUGCCAGUGUGUGAAAUGAAUGCCUAGAGUGGUGUGUGAGUGUGAGAGAUUGAGUACAUUGUUUGUGUUUACAAGCACAUGCAUGUACAACAUAUUAGAAAUAAAGGGAGCGACUCGUGUCCUCGCAUAAGCUCUGCUGUGGAAAGAAGCUUCAUUAUGUAACCCUGAAUACCCCUCGCAGGUCAAUAAUCUCGUCUACACAGUCUAAUCUGCAUCUGACUGUUUGCCAAACACAAAAACAACCUGCUCCAGGACCAGUUGUGUUACAGUUUAACGACUGGGUUAAUUAAAAUAACAAGCACAUCUCUUUAAUAGCCUUUAAUUGAUGAGCCUUCAAGGUUAAGAAGACAGAAAUUGUGGUUUUGCAGCUUUGUAUGUGCCGCCUGAAGGUUUCGCACAUAGAGAAGUUCAGGUUGGCAAAUAUUGAAGGUCCAGUAUGGAGGAUUUAGUGGCAUCUAGCUGUGUAGGUACAGAUUGAAACUCCCCUAGUCUUAUUUGCAGGUCAUUAUACACUAAUGAAAACAUACCUUUGAAUUUUAUACUACAUUUACAGUAUACAGUGUUGGCUGACUUUACUGUGAAUCAGAAUUAAGUCUUCACAUAAGAGGAAUUUGCCAUAUUGUACAUUGGUGACAACUUGGAGUUACACGUGACAUCAACAUCAACAUCAAGUGUGGUUUAUUUCAUGAGUUUGAACUACAGACCUGAGACAUAAACUAGAGACAACAUCAAUUCACACUGAAGAACACAAGCGUGUAAAGAGAACUGCGAUGUUUGCAGCCACAGAGCAGCACAAAGAAAUUAUAGCAUGAACCUUUGGCAGGAUUUCUAAAAUUCCUCUGAAUGUAAUGCAAUCCAAAAUUACAAACUACGGCAUCAGUGGUACCUCAAUGGUUUAUUUGCUGACGACCUUUCGUUAUGAACUGGAAGGAAUUCAACCUCAUUUUUAUAUAUAUUUUUAUUAGUGUUUAAUCACCUGAAAAUAAGAAUGUUUUGUUUCCUUAGAAUAAGCUGCUUUUAUCUACAGGCAACAUACACAGCCACUGUAGUUUCUCCUCCAUGCUUAGAAAGCUGAGCUGUACUCAUAAGGUUGGAAUCUGCAGCUUCACUGGUAGAUGUCACUGAAUAUUACACACUUGUAAACAACAGACAUUAUAUACAGAAUCUAUUCUGAAUAGAUUAUUAUAAAUAAUUAUAAUUAUAACUGAGAGGAGAACUGAAUGAUACAGCAAUAAAAUGAUGUGUAAAAAGAAAA
Morone saxatilis (striped sea-bass) is the source of this 2861-nucleotide long non-coding RNA. RefSeq lists it as uncharacterized. The transcript is spliced from 2 exons. The record is from RefSeq and is a predicted model, not a curated record. NCBI's taxonomy places the organism in Eukaryota, Metazoa, Chordata, Actinopteri, Moronidae.